Molecule: long non-coding RNA, 706 nt
Organism: Ziziphus jujuba (common jujube)
Lineage: Eukaryota; Viridiplantae; Streptophyta; Magnoliopsida; Rosales; Rhamnaceae
Exons: 4
Source: RefSeq, a predicted model, not a curated record
AUUUUGUUCAACAAAAUCCCAAUGGUUCCAAAAGAUUGGAAUAUUAUCAUCAACUUUACCUUCCCUUCCUUCGCUAACUCGCUGCUUGCCUCUGAAACUUGGGUUGGAUCCUUCUCACUGUGCCAUGGGUGAUUAAAGCAUGAUUGAAUUUGUGUUUUAGGUUGUUUUGGAUCAAAUUUUCACAAAAGGCCAGAAAAUUACAGCAAUGUGGGAUUGUAUUUUGCUCGCUUGGGAGGACAAUAUGGGGGUGGAAUAUAACAAUGUUCGAAACACCAAUAGCUUAGAAUGUCGUUCGGUAAAAAUACAAGGUGCAGUGAACAAAUUUCAUGGACUAUAUGAGAGAUUGCAAGAAAUCUACAAAGUGGAACAACCCCAGAAGAUAUGAAGAGAGCAGCAAUGCAAAUGUAUGAGAAUCUUAAUUAUGUAAAAUGGACUUGAAGCUGGAUGGAAUGGAAGCUAUGGAUAGUAAAUGAUCUAUAUUGAAGAUGGAAAAGGCUAACGGAAGGAAAUGUUAUGAAGGGAUUGUACAUAAUCUAUAAGGAUAAUACACAUAUAUUUAAAUGUUGUGCAUUCGUAUUUUGAUGUUCUCCAUCUUUCUUAUGGAAUUUUAGAAGUUGCAGUUGUUAGAAAUCUUUGACAAAGUUUUUUGAACUCGUUGAGCUAGUGCCUAUAUAAUUGUAGGUUAUUUGUUGUUUCAUAUUGUUCC